Molecule: ribosomal RNA, 441 nt
Filed under: uncultured bacterium
Lineage: Bacteria
Description: partial 16S ribosomal RNA
Rfam family: Bacterial small subunit ribosomal RNA
Source: RNAcentral
CCUACGGGUGGCAGCAGUGGGGAAUAUUGGGCAAUGGGCGAAAGCCUGACCCAGCAACGCCGCGUGAAGGAAGAAGGCUUUCGGGUUGUAAACUUCUUUUGACAGGGAAGAGCAGAAGACGGUACCUGUCGAAUAAGCCACGGCUAACUACGUGCCAGCAGCCGCGGUAAUACGUAGGUGGCAAGCGUGGUCCGGAUGUACUGGGUGGAAAGGGCGGGUAGCCGGGCUGGAAAGUCAGAUGUGAAAUCCGGGGGCUCAACCCCGGAAGUGCAUUUGGAACUGUUUGUCUUGAGUAUCGGAGAGGCAGGCGGAAUUCAUAGUGUAGCGGUGAAAUGGGUAGAUAUUAGGAGGAACACCAGUGGCGAAGGCGGCCUGCUGGACGACAACUGACGGUGAGGCGCGAAAGCGUGGGGAGCAAACAGGAUUAGAUACCCAGUAGUC